Molecule: ribosomal RNA, 227 nt
Filed under: uncultured bacterium
Lineage: Bacteria
Description: partial 16S ribosomal RNA
Rfam family: Bacterial small subunit ribosomal RNA
Source: RNAcentral
AGUAACACGUAGAUGACCUGCCCUAUAGUGGGGAAUAACAGCCUGAAAGGGUUGCUAAUACCGCAUAAGCUCUUACAUGAGGGUGUAAGAGGAAACCUUCGCAAGAGGGGCUAAAGGAGGGGUCUGCGGCGGAUUAGCUAGAUGGUGGGGUAAAGGCCUACCAUGGCGACGAUCCGUAGCUGGUCUGAGAGGACGGCCAGCCACACUGGGACUGAGACACGGCCCAG